Molecule: long non-coding RNA, 248 nt
Filed under: Elaeis guineensis (African oil palm)
Lineage: Eukaryota; Viridiplantae; Streptophyta; Magnoliopsida; Arecales; Arecaceae
Description: long non-coding RNA (EGUI_LNC016747)
Source: RNAcentral
CAGGUUAUCACAGAAGGUGCUAAAACAUAAAAAGGAUAAAUCAGGGAAUGAGUAUGUCAAAACAGAAAGAACAGUCGAAGUGGUUGAGGGUAGUGAUGGAUGACUAGUUAAGAUGGUAUGGGCAUCUAUAUCAGAAAUAUUAGAAGGCUUCAAUAAGGUAGGUACUCAAACCUUUGUUGAAGGAUUUAGAAAUAACAUGAAAAGACCUAAUUACUAAGCAGCUAAGACGGAAAAAAUAUAUAAGAAAG